This 584-nucleotide ribosomal RNA is filed under the name uncultured bacterium. RNAcentral describes it as "partial 16S ribosomal RNA". It matches the Rfam family "Bacterial small subunit ribosomal RNA", at positions 355 to 1375 of the family's 1533-position model. The record is from RNAcentral.
UGGGGAAUUUUGGACAAUGGGCGAAAGCCUGAUCCAGCAAUGCCGCGUGUGUGAAGAAGGCCUUCGGGUUGUAAAGCACUUUUGUCCGGAAAGAAAUCCUUGGCUCUAAUACAGUCGGGGGAUGACGGUACCGGAAGAAUAAGCACCGGCUAACUACGUGCCAGCAGCCGCGGUAAUACGUAGGGUGCAAGCGUUAAUCGGAAUUACUGGGCGUAAAGCGUGCGCAGGCGGUUUGCUAAGACCGAUGUGAAAUCCCCGGGCUCAACCUGGGAACUGCAUUGGUGACUGGCAGGCUAGAGUAUGGCAGAGGGGGGUAGAAUUCCACGUGUAGCAGUGAAAUGCGUAGAGAUGUGGAGGAAUACCGAUGGUGAAGGCAGCCCCCUGGGCCAAUACUGACGCUCAUGCACGAAAACGUGGGGAGCAAACAGGAUUAGAUACCCUGGUAGUCCACGCCCUAAACGAUGUCAACUAGUUGUUGGGGAUUCAUUUCCUAGUAACGUAGCUAACGCGUGAAGUUGACCGCCUGGGGAGUACGGUCGCAAGAUUAAAACUCAAAUGAAUUGACGGGGUCAUAGCUGUUUCCU